This 73-nucleotide transfer RNA is filed under the name Paramuricea clavata. It matches the Rfam family "tRNA". Rfam says of the family: Transfer RNA (tRNA) molecules are approximately 80 nucleotides in length. Their secondary structure includes four short double-helical elements and three loops (D, anti-codon, and T loops). The record is from Rfam by way of RNAcentral. Lineage: Eukaryota; Metazoa; Cnidaria; Anthozoa; Malacalcyonacea; Plexauridae.
GACCGCGUAGCUCAGUUGGCAGAGCAUUGGGCUAGUAUUCCAAAGGUCGUAGGUUCGUUUCCCACCGUGGCCA